GUCCUACGGGGCGCAGCAGUGGGGGAUAUUGCACAAUGGGGGGAACCCUGAUGCAGCGACGCCGCGUGGGCGAUGGAGUACUUCGGUAUGUAAAGCCCUAUCAGCAGGGAAGAAAAUGACGGUACCUGACUAAGAAGCCCCGGCUAAAUACGUGCCAGCAGCCGCGGUAAUACGUAUGGGGCAAGCGUUAUCCGGAUUUACUGGGUGUAAAGGGAGCGUAGGCGGUGCAGCAAGUCAGAAGUGAAAGCCCGGGGCUCAACUCCGGGACUGCUUUUGAAACUGUUGAACUAGAUUGCAGGAGAGGG
Molecule: ribosomal RNA, 305 nt
Filed under: uncultured bacterium
Lineage: Bacteria
Description: bacterial SSU rRNA
Rfam family: Bacterial small subunit ribosomal RNA
Source: RNAcentral